Molecule: ribosomal RNA, 1134 nt
Filed under: human oral metagenome
Description: bacterial LSU rRNA
Rfam family: Bacterial large subunit ribosomal RNA
Source: RNAcentral
GAAAAUCUAAGGUUUCCUGGGGAAGGCUCGUCCGCCCAGGGUAAGUCGGGACCUAAGGUGAGGCCGAAGGGCGUAGCCGAUGGACAGCAGGUUAAGAUUCCUGCACCAGUAUACAUGUAUAAUGCAUAAGAGGACACAUUUGAAGAAGGUGAGCGAGGAAGAGGAAAAACUCGUAUGGCAACAUAUAGUGAAAUCAAGUAACGAAUCAUCAAGAGGCAAGUGGCGAGAAAAGUCUUAUGUAGUUGUGUAGACUGCCCGUACCGCAAACCGACACAGGUAGAUGAGGAGAGGAUCCUAAGACGAGCGGGAGAAGCAUUGUUAAGGAACUCGGCAAAUUGACCCCGUAACUUAGGGAUAAGGGGUGCUGGUGUAAAAGCCAGUCGCAGUAAAUAGGCCCAAGCAACUGUUUAACAAAAACACAGGUUUCUGCUAAAUCGCAAGAUGAAGUAUAGGAGCUGACUCCUGCCCAGUGCUGGAAGGUUAAGGGGAAAGGUUAAGAAUAAUUCAUUAUAUCUGAAGCUUUGAACUCAAGCCCCAGUGAACGGCGGCCGUAACUAUAACGGUCCUAAGGUAGCGAAAUUCCUUGUCAGGUAAGUUCUGACCCGCACGAAAGGCGUAAUGAUUUGGGCACUGUCUCAACAAUGUACCCGGCGAAAUUGUAGUACUAGUGAAGAUGCUAGUUACCUGCGACAAGACGGAAAGACCCCAUGGAGCUUUACUAUAGCCUGAUAUUGGGCUUUGGUAUCUUAUGUACAGGAUAGGUGGGAGACUAUGAGAUUAAGACGCAAGUCUUAAAGGAGUCAACCUUGGAAUACCACCCUUAAGAUAUUAGAGUUCUAACUUGUGAUCAUAAACUGGUCAGAGGACAUUGUCAGGUGGGUAGUUUGACUGGGGCGGUCACCUCCUAAAGAGUAACGGAGGUGCGCAAAGGUUUCCUCGGCACGGUCAGAAAUCGUGCUAAUGAGUGUAAAGGCAUAAGGAAGCUUAACUGAGAGAGAGACAUCUCGACCAGAUACGAAAGUAGGUCUUAGUGAUCCGGUGGUAGAAAAUGGAAUUGCCAUCGCUCAACGGAUAAAAGUUACCCUGGGGAUAACAGGCUUAUCUCCCCCAAGAGUUCACAUCGACGGGGAGGUU